This 701-nucleotide ribosomal RNA is filed under the name Curtobacterium sp. RNAcentral describes it as "bacterial SSU rRNA". It matches the Rfam family "Bacterial small subunit ribosomal RNA", at positions 49 to 763 of the family's 1533-position model. Lineage: Bacteria; Bacillati; Actinomycetota; Actinomycetes; Micrococcales; Microbacteriaceae. The record is from RNAcentral.
UUACACAUGCAGUCGAACGAUGAUCAGGAGCUUGCUCCUGUGAUUAGUGGCGAACGGGUGAGUAACACGUGAGUAACCUGCCCCUGACUCUGGGAUAAGCGUUGGAAACGACGUCUAAUACUGGAUACGACUGCCGGCCGCAUGGUCUGGUGGUGGAAAGAUUUUUUGGUUGGGGAUGGACUCGCGGCCUAUCAGCUUGUUGGUGAGGUAAUGGCUCACCAAGGCGACGACGGGUAGCCGGCCUGAGAGGGUGACCGGCCACACUGGGACUGAGACACGGCCCAGACUCCUACGGGAGGCAGCAGUGGGGAAUAUUGCACAAUGGGCGAAAGCCUGAUGCAGCAACGCCGCGUGAGGGAUGACGGCCUUCGGGUUGUAAACCUCUUUUAGUAGGGAAGAAGCGAAAGUGACGGUACCUGCAGAAAAAGCACCGGCUAACUACGUGCCAGCAGCCGCGGUAAUACGUAGGGUGCAAGCGUUGUCCGGAAUUAUUGGGCGUAAAGAGCUCGUAGGCGGUUUGUCGCGUCUGCUGUGAAAUCCCGAGGCUCAACCUCGGGCUUGCAGUGGGUACGGGCAGACUAGAGUGCGGUAGGGGAGAUUGGAAUUCCUGGUGUAGCGGUGGAAUGCGCAGAUAUCAGGAGGAACACCGAUGGCGAAGGCAGAUCUCUGGGCCGUAACUGACGCUGAGGAGCGAAAGCGUG